Molecule: transfer RNA, 80 nt
Filed under: Pythium insidiosum
Lineage: Eukaryota; Oomycota; Peronosporomycetes; Pythiales; Pythiaceae
Description: tRNA-Ser
Rfam family: tRNA
About the family: Transfer RNA (tRNA) molecules are approximately 80 nucleotides in length. Their secondary structure includes four short double-helical elements and three loops (D, anti-codon, and T loops). Further hydrogen bonds mediate the characteristic L-shaped molecular structure. tRNAs have two regions of fundamental functional importance: the anti-codon, which is responsible for specific mRNA codon recognition, and the 3' end, to which the tRNAs corresponding amino acid is attached (by aminoacyl-tRNA synthetases). tRNAs cope with the degeneracy of the genetic code in two manners: having more than one tRNA (with a specific anti-codon) for a particular amino acid; and 'wobble' base-pairing, i.e. permitting non-standard base-pairing at the 3rd anti-codon position.
Source: RNAcentral
GACAGCUUGCCGAGUGGUUAAGGCGAUGGACUUGAAAUCCAUUGGGGUAACCUGCGUGAGUUCAAAUCUCACAGCUGUCG